GACGAACGCUGGCGGCGUGCCUAACACAUGCAAGUCGAGCGGGAUCCAUCCGGUGGCAACACCGGUGAAGAUCUAGCGGCGAACGGGUGAGUAACACGUGAGAAACCUGCCCCGAACUUCGGGAUAACACGGGGAAACCCGUGCUAAUACCGAAUACCCUCUACCGGUCGCAUGGCCGGAAGCGGAAAGAUUCAUCGGUUCGGGAGGGUCUCGCGGCCUAUCAGCUAGUUGGCGGGGUAACGGCCCACCAAGGCAUCGACGGGUAGCUGGUCUGAGAGGACGGUCAGCCACACUGGGACUGAGACACGGCCCAGACUCCUACGGGAGGCAGCAGUGGGGAAUCUUGCGCAAUGGGCGAAAGCCUGACGCAGCAACGCCGCGUGCGGGAUGAAGGCCUUCGGGUUGCAAACCGCUUUCGGCAGGGAAGAAAAUGACGGUACCUGCAGAAGAAGCCCCGGCCAACUACGUGCCAGCAGCCGCGGUAA
This 485-nucleotide ribosomal RNA is filed under the name uncultured bacterium. RNAcentral's name for it is "partial 16S ribosomal RNA". It matches the Rfam family "Bacterial small subunit ribosomal RNA", at positions 28 to 523 of the family's 1533-position model. The record is from RNAcentral.